CCGGCCUGAGAGGGCGACCGGCCACACUGGGACUGAGACACGGCCCAGACUCCUACGGGAGGCAGCAGUGGGGAAUAUUGCGCAAUGGGCGAAAGCCUGACGCAGCAACGCCGCGUGCGGGAUGAAGGCCUUCGGGUUGUAAACCGCUUUCAGCAGGGAAGAAGCCGCAAGGUGACGGUACCUGCAGAAGAAGCACCGGCUAACUACGUGCCAGCAGCCGCGGUAAUACGUAGGGUGCAAGCGUUGUCCGGAUUUAUUGGGCGUAAAGAGCUCGUAGGCGGUCUGUUACGUCGGUUGUGAAAACUCGGGGCUUAACCCCGAGCCUGCAUCCGAUACGGGCAGACUUGAGUGUGGUAGG
This 358-nucleotide ribosomal RNA is filed under the name uncultured bacterium. RNAcentral describes it as "bacterial SSU rRNA". It matches the Rfam family "Bacterial small subunit ribosomal RNA", at positions 287 to 655 of the family's 1533-position model. The record is from RNAcentral.